RNAcentral lists this ribosomal RNA (214 nucleotides) under uncultured Lactobacillus sp. RNAcentral's name for it is "partial 16S ribosomal RNA". It matches the Rfam family "Bacterial small subunit ribosomal RNA", at positions 149 to 354 of the family's 1533-position model. Lineage: Bacteria; Bacillati; Bacillota; Bacilli; Lactobacillales; Lactobacillaceae. The record is from RNAcentral.
CCUGGAAACAGAUGCUAAUAACCGGAUAACAANAGAUGAUGCCUAUCAACUGUUUAAAAGAUGGUUCUGCUAUCACUCUUGGAUGGACCUGCGGUGCAUUAGCUAGUUGGUAGGGUAACGGCCUACCAAGGCGAUGAUGCAUAGCCGAGUUGAGAGACUGAUCGGCCACAUUGGGACUGAGACACGGCCCAAACUCCUACGGGAGGCAGCAGAC